This 785-nucleotide non-coding RNA is filed under the name Eysarcoris gibbosus. The record is from RNAcentral. Lineage: Eukaryota; Metazoa; Arthropoda; Insecta; Hemiptera; Pentatomidae.
GAAAAGUUUGAUUCUGGCUUGAAUUGAAUAUAUCAAUGAUGGAUAUUAAUAUGUAAAUUUUUGUGUGUUAUAUAGUUUACUUAAAAAGUGGAUAUAUGCAUAUUUAUUCGCAGUUUUUAAUUUUAUAUAUUUAAUAAUUUAAGAUAUAGCUAAUUAUUUAUUUACUAGCAUAAAUUGUGCCAGCAGCUGCGGUUAUACAAUUAAGUCAAAUAUAUUCUUUUAAGGUGUUUAUUAUAAUUAUUGAUUAUGAUUUAAAUAAUUAGAUUUUAAGGUGAAAUUUUAAAUCUAAAAUUUUAAUUUGGAUAAUAAUAUAAUAAGAAAUUUAUUAUUUAAACUAGGAUUAGAUACCCUAUUAUUUUAAAUGUAAAAUUUGGCCUUUAGUAUUAUAAGUUAAGAUCUUUAAAUUGAAAGAAUUUGACGGUAAUUUAAUCAUUUUAGAGGAACCUGUUCUGUAAUCGAUAAUCCACGAUAGAUUUUACCUUUAUUUAUAAAAUUUGUAUACCUCUGUUUGAUUGAAUGUUUUACUAGAAUAUUUUCUUUUAUUUUUAUUGAAUAUUAUAUCAGGUCAAGGUGCAGUUAUAUAAAGGAUUAAAAUGGGUUACAUUUAAUUUAUUAUUGGAUAGAAAUAUUAUGAAUUUUCUUGAAAUUGGAUUUAAUUGUAAUGUUUAAUAUAUAUUAUUCAUGAUAUAUGUUCUUGGUUAAGUACACAUCGCCCGUCACUCUCAUUAAUAAGAUGAGAUAAGUCGUAACAAAGUAGUUUUACCGGAAGGUAAAGCUAGAUUUAU